UGGGCCCGGCACCAGCAGCGGGUGUGAGCGGUGGCUCGCCAGCAUCAGGUGCAAGCGCCGGGUGGGACUGUGGAGCGCAGGAGCAAAGAAUUUUCAGUACCCCCCAGAGGCUC
This is a long non-coding RNA of Myotis brandtii (Brandt's bat), 113 nucleotides long. RefSeq lists it as uncharacterized. The transcript has 2 exons. Lineage: Eukaryota; Metazoa; Chordata; Mammalia; Chiroptera; Vespertilionidae. The record is from RefSeq and is a predicted model, not a curated record.